GCCGAGGUGGCGGAAUGGUAGACGCGUAGGUCUCAAAAACCUAUGAGGUCACACUCGUGAGGGUUCGAAUCCCUCCCUCGGCA
This 83-nucleotide transfer RNA is filed under the name bacterium. Its description in RNAcentral is "tRNA-Leu". It matches the Rfam family "tRNA". From Rfam's summary of the family: Transfer RNA (tRNA) molecules are approximately 80 nucleotides in length. Their secondary structure includes four short double-helical elements and three loops (D, anti-codon, and T loops). The record is from RNAcentral.